UCGCAUCUCACAGAUGGACACGAGGAAUGACUGGGGCCGAGAGGAAGAGCUUUCCCCUGCUCUUGGACUGGAGCCACCCCCUCCUUUGCCCCCCCCCCCCAGAUCACUCCCACAAGCCAGGAUUGGGAUCAUCUGGGGAUGACCCCCUGGCUUAGCCUGCUCCUCUGAUUUCCUCAGAGUUGAAACCACCCAAGAAUGAGGUCUUUGGUGUCUCUGAGCCCCCCACAGCCCCUCAGGAGCUUCCUGAGUCCGUGAGACCAUCUGCCCCGCCAGCUGAACUGGACGUGCCGACCUCAGAGUGUGUUGUGUGCCUGGAACGUGAGGCCCAGAUGGUCUUCCUCACCUGCGGCCAUGUCUGCUGCUGCCAGCAGUGCUGCCAGCCGCUGCGCACCUGCCCACUGUGCC
Molecule: long non-coding RNA, 405 nt
Filed under: Rattus norvegicus (Norway rat)
Lineage: Eukaryota; Metazoa; Chordata; Mammalia; Rodentia; Muridae
Description: long non-coding RNA NONRATT019192
Source: RNAcentral